GUCCUUUUCCGGGUGACUCCAGUGCUGGCCUUGCAGAACGGCACACUCCUGAAUAAAUUCAGCUUGAUGUAUUCAAGGAGGAUCUGCACACUGUCCUCUUCACCACAGGCAUCUGCAGCAUUCCUGAAAGAUGAGCUGGCAGGAACCUGGAGGACGGUUUUAGUGGUUUGGAAGCCGAAGACGUCCAGGAAACGAAUUCAUGACACACACACAUUCUCAUAAAUAAAACUGAAAUGGUGCCAGAUUUGCUCGCACUGUCGUUCAGUCAAUGAGAAGCGGGUAGAGGAAAGGCAGAUCUUUAGAAAUGGAUGUUAAAAUGUGCAGUCCAGUUGAAUAAGCA
Molecule: long non-coding RNA, 340 nt
Organism: Ictalurus punctatus (channel catfish)
Lineage: Eukaryota; Metazoa; Chordata; Actinopteri; Siluriformes; Ictaluridae
Source: Ensembl